UACGUAGGGAGCAAGCGUUGUCCGGAAUCAUUGGGCGUAAAGCGCGCGUAGGCGGCCCCGUAAGUCCGCUGUGAAAGUCAAAGGCUCAACCUUUGAAAGCCGGUGGAUACUGUGGGGCUAGAGUCCGGAAGAGGCGAGUGGAAUUCCUGGUGUAGCGGUGGAAUGCGCAGAUAUCAGGAGGAACACCGGUGGCGAAGGCGCCACUCUGGGCCGGAACUGACGCUGAGACGCGAAAGCGUGGGGAGCGAACAGG
RNAcentral lists this ribosomal RNA (253 nucleotides) under uncultured bacterium. Its description in RNAcentral is "partial 16S ribosomal RNA". It matches the Rfam family "Bacterial small subunit ribosomal RNA", at positions 524 to 776 of the family's 1533-position model. The record is from RNAcentral.